RNAcentral lists this ribosomal RNA (427 nucleotides) under uncultured bacterium. RNAcentral describes it as "bacterial SSU rRNA". It matches the Rfam family "Bacterial small subunit ribosomal RNA", at positions 354 to 796 of the family's 1533-position model. The record is from RNAcentral.
GUUGGGAAUCUUCCGCAAUGGGCGAAAGCCUGACGGAGCGACACUGCGUGAGGGAAGAAGGCCUUCGGGUUGUAAACCUCUGUCGAGAGGGGAAGACCUCAGACGGUACCCUCAGAGGAAGCCCCGGCUAACUACGUGCCAGCAGCCGCGGUAAGACGUAGGGGGCGAGCGUUAUCCGGAAUUACUGGGCGUAAAGGGCGUGUAGGCGGUUAGGUGUAUCGAGGGUGAAAUCCCACGGCUCAACUGUGGGAAGACUCUCGAGAUUACCUAACUAGAGGGUAGAAGAGGGAGAUGGAAUUCCCGGUGUAGCGGUGAAAUGCGUAGAUAUCGGGAAGAACGCCGGUGGUGAAGACGGUCUCCUGGGCUACUCCUGACGCUGAGGCGCGAAAGCUAGGGGAGCGAACGGGAUUAGAAACCCUAGUAGUCC